RNAcentral lists this ribosomal RNA (497 nucleotides) under uncultured bacterium. RNAcentral describes it as "partial 16S ribosomal RNA". It matches the Rfam family "Bacterial small subunit ribosomal RNA", at positions 28 to 507 of the family's 1533-position model. The record is from RNAcentral.
GAUGAACGCUGGCGGCGUGCCUAAUACAUGCAAGUCGAGCGAACGGACGAGAAGCUUGCUUCUCUGAUGUUAGCGGCGGACGGGUGGGUAACACGUGGAUAACCUACCUAUAAGACUGGGAUAACUUCGGGAAACCGGAGCUAAUACCGGAUAAUAUUUUGAACCGCAUGGUUCAAAAGUGAAAGACGGUCUUGCUGUCACUUAUGGAUGGAUCCGCGCUGCAUUAGCUAGUUGGUAAGGUAACGGCUUACCAAGGCAACGAUGCAUAGCCGACCUGAGAGGGUGAUCGGCCACACUGGAACUGAGACACGGUCCAGACUCCUACGGGAGGCAGCAGUAGGGAAUCUUCCGCAAUGGGCGAAAGCCUGACGGAGCAACGCCGCGUGAGUGAUGAAGGUCUUCGGAUCGUAAAACUCUGUUAUUAGGGAAGAACAUAUGUGUAAGUAACUGUGCACAUCUUGACGGUACCUAAUCAGAAAGCCACGGCUAACUACGUG